Long non-coding RNA from Aedes aegypti (yellow fever mosquito), 598 nucleotides. RefSeq lists it as uncharacterized. The transcript has 3 exons. The record is from RefSeq and is a predicted model, not a curated record. Lineage: Eukaryota; Metazoa; Arthropoda; Insecta; Diptera; Culicidae.
AUUUGUUUGUUCUUUAGAUCUAGUGUCAUUAAAAGUCUUAAAGCUAAAGUUAGUAAUGUUAAUUGUGAAGAAGUUAUUAAAAAGCGGGUAGAGUGACCUAGCUUGGUCCAGCGCAUCUGAAACACUACAAAAUAAGUUGAAGUUAGAAGCAAGAAAAAGGUCCACAAAGGGGCCUUUUUCUUUGUAAUUAGCAGCUUUGUUCGGAGGAGGAACGCCAUCUUUAUUCCCUCAGAACAAAGGCAAGUCUUGGGUCCUUGGAUGCCUGACCAGAGAAGCCAUCUUGGGAUUCGGUGAAUGGUAUUGAAGUCGCGGAGCAAAACCGCCGUCGAAUAGGAAGCUUCAUCCGAAGUUCCGAAGUUCCAGGUCCUCGAUAGCCAACCACGAGUGACGUAGGAAUACCCGAUCCCCUGCUGGCCUGGUGCCCUAUCAAUGGGAAUACCAACCAAGGACGCCCCGAUACGCCAUUAGCCGUUGCAGAAUCCACCCCGACCACCUCAAGGUGCCGUUAGUCCGCAGAAAGUCCACAACGCAAGAGUAAAAACCGCAAGUAGAACUAUGUGACGUCACGUUAUAGCUAGAUCAUAAGAAAUGGCCAUUU